Molecule: unclassified non-coding RNA, 1344 nt
Filed under: Hevea brasiliensis (rubber tree)
Lineage: Eukaryota; Viridiplantae; Streptophyta; Magnoliopsida; Malpighiales; Euphorbiaceae
Source: RNAcentral
ACCCAAAAUCGUUUAGAAUGGAGAGAGAGAAUCUAUAUAGUCGAUCCUAAAUUUUUGGGAUAAAAGUUUGGUUGAGUUGAGUAGAUUGAAUCUCAAACAAUGGUUAAUGAUCAAAAUGUAUCGUAAUACAUAUAUCCGUGCUACAUGAUGGACAUAAUUAAAGUUAUCAAGUAAUGCAAGAUAUGAAGGAUUGAAGAGUUGCUAAUGUGUUGUAAUACAUAUAUCCGUGCUACACGAUGGACAUAAUUCAAGCUGUCAAGUAAUGCAAGAUAUGAAGGGGAUAUGAAGGAUUGAAGAGUUUCUGUUUAGCAUUGAUGAGGUUAGUUAUUUUAGCUAACCAGUUUUUGGUUUAAGUAAACUAAUGAAAAAUUCUUACUUAGACUCGGUAUAUCAUGAAUCCAAGUUACAAACAUUGGACUCAAGAGGUCUAUCAUGAAUGUAAGACACAAACAUUGAGCUCAAGACAUAAACAUAUGGAAUCCAUAUAUUUAAUAAGUGAAUUUCACCAUAAAUCUUAUAUCUUGGUUCUAUGUUGGACCGAGUUUAGGUAAAAAAAAUCAUUUCAGUAAUUAGCUUUUAAGUUUUAGCUAGAUAGUUUUAAUGAGCUGAGCAGUUACAAAAGCCAUCAUUAGUUAGCUUCCUGCUAGUUGGUAAUUAUUAUUUUACCGUUUCUUCUUUUCUUUCUCGUAAGAUAAAUCAAUUAUAGCUUGAUUCGUUAAUGAGAUUCACACACAACUUUUCCUUCGUUUUCUCUGUGUUAAAAGCUUAAAGUAACAAAUGAACUUACUGAUAAAAAUGCUCUUAUUGGCAUCGAUCACAGGGUUUGAGGCCCUCGAUCCCAAAACAUACUCAUCCCAAAUUGGUGGAGCUGCUUGAGAGAUGCUGGCAGAAAGAUCCAUCUUUGAGACCUGAAUUCUCUGAAAUUUUAGAACUGCUACAACAGUUAGCCAAGAAGGUAUAAAGAAGUGUAUAAAAAAACGUCUAUUUGCAUCUACUUUGCGAAUUUUGAAAGCUUCAUGAUCUCGUAACAGGUUGCAGAGGAAACAGAAGAUAGGCAGGAAGAGAAAUCGUCUGAAAGAGCCGUAAAAACAAUUAGGCGAAACAGACAUUGAAGUAAUAGGCGAGAAUAUUGUAUAAAAUAUUGAAAAGCUUUCCAUGGAUUAAAUAUGCACCCGUAAAAUCAUCAGAACCAACAUGAGCCUAAUUUGAUGUUGAAGUAGAAUUGUUAAUGCCACUGUUGUUGACCAAAUAUACAGCUUAAUCAGAAUUUUGCAUUGAUCCAGUUGUAGUUUGAGUCUAGUUCUGUUCAUUUAUAUUUGUCUGUGACUCAAAUUUGAAAUCCUG